AUUGAACGCUGGCGGCAGGCCUAACACAUGCAAGUCGAGCGGAUGAAGGGAGCUUGCUCCUGGAUUCAGCGGCGGACGGGUGAGUAAUGCCUAGGAAUCUGCCUGGUAGUGGGGGAUAACGUCCGGAAACGGGCGCUAAUACCGCAUACGUCCUGAGGGAGAAAGUGGGGGAUCUUCGGACCUCACGCUAUAAGAUGAGCCUAGGUCGGAUUAGCUAGUUGGUGGGGUAAAGGCCUACCAAGGCGACGAUCCGUAACUGGUCUGAGAGGAUGAUCAGUCACACUGGAACUGAGACACGGUCCAGACUCCUACGGGAGGCAGCAGUGGGGAUUAUUGGACAAUGGGCGAAAGCCUGAUCCAGCCAGGCCGCGUGUGUGAAGAAGGUCUUCGGAUUGUAAAGCCCUUUAAGUUGGGAGAAAGGGCAUUAAGUUAAUACCUUGCUGUUUUGACGUUACCAACAGAAUAAGCACCGGCUAACUUCGUG
This 484-nucleotide ribosomal RNA is filed under the name uncultured bacterium. RNAcentral's name for it is "partial 16S ribosomal RNA". It matches the Rfam family "Bacterial small subunit ribosomal RNA", at positions 30 to 507 of the family's 1533-position model. The record is from RNAcentral.